UGGGGAAUAUUGCACAAUGGGGGGAAACUCUGAUGCAGCGAUGCCGCGUGAGUGAAGAAGGUCUUCGGAUUGUAAAACUCUGUCUUCAGGGACGAUAAUGACGGUACCUGAGGAGGAAGCUCCGGCUAACUACGUGCCAGCAGCCGCGGUAAUACGUAGGGAGCGAGCGUUGUCCGGAAUUACUGGGUGUAAAGGGAGCGUAGGCGGGGCUUUAAGUCAGGUGUGAAAUCUAUGGGCUCAACUCAUAGACUGCACUUGAAACUGAGGCUCUUGAGUGAAGUAGAGGCAGGCGGAAUUCCUAGUGUAGCGGUGAAAUGCGUAGAUAUUAGGAGGAACAUCAGUGGCGAAGGCGGCCUGCUGGGCUUUUACUGACGCUGAGGCUCGAAAGCGUGGGGAGCAAACAGGAUUAGAUACCCUGGUAGU
This 423-nucleotide ribosomal RNA is filed under the name uncultured Oscillospiraceae bacterium. RNAcentral's name for it is "bacterial SSU rRNA". It matches the Rfam family "Bacterial small subunit ribosomal RNA", at positions 355 to 794 of the family's 1533-position model. The record is from RNAcentral. Lineage: Bacteria; Bacillati; Bacillota; Clostridia; Eubacteriales; Oscillospiraceae.